UACGUAGGGGGCUAGCGUUGUCCGGAAUCAUUGGGCGUAAAGAGCGCGUAGGCGGCUAGGUAAGUCCGACGUGAAAUCUGGAGGCUCAACCUCCAGCGGUCGUUGGAAACUACUUGGCUAGAGUCCGGAAGAGGAGAGUGGAAUUCCUGGUGUAGCGGUGAAAUGCGCAGAUAUCAGGAAGAACACCGAUGGCGAAAGCAGCUCUCUGGGACGGUACUGACGCUGAGGCGCGAAAGCGUGGGGAGCGAACAGG
This 253-nucleotide ribosomal RNA is filed under the name uncultured bacterium. Its description in RNAcentral is "partial 16S ribosomal RNA". It matches the Rfam family "Bacterial small subunit ribosomal RNA", at positions 524 to 776 of the family's 1533-position model. The record is from RNAcentral.